RNAcentral lists this ribosomal RNA (166 nucleotides) under uncultured bacterium. RNAcentral describes it as "partial 16S ribosomal RNA". It matches the Rfam family "Bacterial small subunit ribosomal RNA", at positions 355 to 510 of the family's 1533-position model. The record is from RNAcentral.
UAGGGAAGUCUUCCACCAAUGGACGAAAGUACUGAUGGAGCAACGCCGCGUGAGUGAAGAAGGGUUUCGGCUCGUAAAACUCUGUUGUUAAAGAAGAACAUAUCUGAGAGUAACUGUUCAGGUAUUGACGGUAUUUAACCAGAAAGCCACGGCUAACUACGUGCCA